UACGGCAUGGCAUGCCCCUUGGAGCAGCAUCCAACUUUUUUAGCCAAUUUCAAUUAAUGCAAGCAUCACUUGACCUUUGAUCAGACACUGAUUAGACACCUAUUUGAACUGAGACUUAACUAUCAUCCAUUCUCAAUCAUCGGUAUGACAUGUAACCUUGGAAAAAUCUCUCUCUCUCUCUCUCUCUCUCUCUCUCUCGAUUCAACCAAUCAAAAGAAAAGAAAAGAAAACAAUAGAAAUACACAAAAAAACAAAAAACACACAAACAAACAUGCAUAGUUUUAUCUUUCAAAAUUGAAAACUAGGAUACGCACGAUGUGCCUCCCGAGAGUU
RNAcentral lists this long non-coding RNA (333 nucleotides) under Linum usitatissimum (flax). RNAcentral's name for it is "long non-coding RNA (LUSI_LNC007603)". Lineage: Eukaryota; Viridiplantae; Streptophyta; Magnoliopsida; Malpighiales; Linaceae. The record is from RNAcentral.